Molecule: ribosomal RNA, 253 nt
Filed under: uncultured bacterium
Lineage: Bacteria
Description: partial 16S ribosomal RNA
Rfam family: Bacterial small subunit ribosomal RNA
Source: RNAcentral
UACGUAGGGGGCAAGCGUUGUCCGGAAUCAUUGGGCGUAAAGCGCGUGUAGGUGGCCCGAUAAGUCCGCCGUGAAAGUCCAGGGCUCAACCCUGGGAUGCCGGUGGAAACUGUCGGGCUAGAGUCCGGAAGAGGCGAGUGGAAUUCCUGGUGUAGCGGUGAAAUGCGCAGAUAUCAGGAGGAACACCAAUGGCGAAGGCAGCUCGCUGGGACGGUACUGACACUGAGACGCGAAAGCGUGGGGAGCAAACAGG